RNAcentral lists this ribosomal RNA (506 nucleotides) under uncultured bacterium. Its description in RNAcentral is "partial 16S ribosomal RNA". It matches the Rfam family "Bacterial small subunit ribosomal RNA", at positions 29 to 523 of the family's 1533-position model. The record is from RNAcentral.
AGUGAACGCUGGCGGUAGGCCUAACACAUGCAAGUCGAACGGCAGCACAGGAGAGCUUGCUCUCUGGGCGGCGAGUGGCGGACGGGUGAGGAAUACAUCGGAAUCUACUCUGUCGUGGGGGAUAACGUAGGGAAACUUACGCUAAUACCGCAUACGACCUACGGGUGAAAGCAGGGGAUCUUCGGACCUUGCGCGAUUGAAUGAGCCGAUGUCGGAUUAGCUAGUUGGCGGGGUAAAGGCCCACCAAGGGGACGAUCCGUAGCUGGUCUGAGAGGAUGAUCAGCCACACUGGAACUGAGGCACGGUCCAGACUCCUACGGGAGGCAGCAGUGGGGAAUAUUGGACAAUGGGCGCAAGCCUGAUCCAGCCAUACCGCGUGGGUGAAGAAGGCCUUCGGGUUGUAAAGCCCUUUUGUUGGGAAAGAAAUCCAGCUGGCUAAUACCCGGUUGGGAUGACGGUACCCAAAGAAUAAGCACCGGCUAACUUCGUGCCAGCCGCCGCCGUAA